Molecule: long non-coding RNA, 255 nt
Filed under: Mytilus galloprovincialis (Mediterranean mussel)
Lineage: Eukaryota; Metazoa; Mollusca; Bivalvia; Mytilida; Mytilidae
Source: RNAcentral
UGACGAUGGCUCCGGUAUUCACGACCGAUAAUUCUACUUCAGCUGAUGAUAAUCAGGUAAUUUUCCAGUUUUUCAAAACUCAUCUCCGUGUAGUAUUAAGGACAAUGAUGAGCUUGAAAGAAUUGUCGAUAAGUUAAAACAUUUCAGGAGAAUAUGUUGAUCUGACCUUACCACUAGUUUAUUCACAGGCCUCUUGUGGGGAUAAUUAGAAAGUAGUUAUUUCACAUGAACUUUUGAUACCCCGGAAAGGAGGGG